Molecule: non-coding RNA, 131 nt
Organism: Triticum urartu
Lineage: Eukaryota; Viridiplantae; Streptophyta; Magnoliopsida; Poales; Poaceae
Source: Rfam
UAUAUACUUCCUCCGUCCGAAUUUUUUUGUCUUAGAUUCGUCUAGAUAUGGAUAUAUAUGAUACUAAAAUAUGAAUUGAUACAUCUGUAUUUAAACAAAUUUAAGACAAAAAUUUCCGGAGGGAGUAUAUA